Molecule: unclassified non-coding RNA, 200 nt
Filed under: Leptosphaeria sp.
Lineage: Eukaryota; Fungi; Ascomycota; Dothideomycetes; Pleosporales; Leptosphaeriaceae
Description: partial internal transcribed spacer 2
Source: RNAcentral
UUAAGUUCAGCGGGUAUCCCUACCUGAUCCGAGGUCAAGAGCAAAAUGUUUGACUUGAUGGACGUCGACAUUCAAGGCAAGAAACGCAAAAUGUGCUGCGCUCCCAGGCCAGUAUGCCGGCUGCCAAUUGCUUUAAGGCGAGUCCACGCGUAAAAGCGGGACAAACACCCAACACAAGCAGAGCUUGAGGGUACAAAUGA